This 148-nucleotide non-coding RNA is filed under the name Chlorocebus sabaeus (green monkey). The record is from Rfam by way of RNAcentral. Lineage: Eukaryota; Metazoa; Chordata; Mammalia; Primates; Cercopithecidae.
GCUGGGCGUGGUGGCGCACGCCUGUAGUCCCAGCUACUUGGGAGGCUGAGGCAGAAGAACUGCUUGAACCUGGGAGGCGGAGGUUGCAGUGAGCAGAGAUUGUGCCACCGCACUCCAGCCUGGGCAACAGAGCAAGAUUCUGCCUCAA